Salvia miltiorrhiza (redroot sage) is the source of this 660-nucleotide long non-coding RNA. RefSeq lists it as uncharacterized. NCBI's taxonomy places the organism in Eukaryota, Viridiplantae, Streptophyta, Magnoliopsida, Lamiales, Lamiaceae. The transcript has 2 exons. The record is from RefSeq and is a predicted model, not a curated record.
ACUAAUUAUCACACUAAUUAACCCCUAAUUUUCUUUCUCUCUCCACAUUCUCUUUCCUCUCUCUUUUCUUCACCAAUCCACCGCCCUCCCACCUCCCACCUCCACCAUCUUGCCACCUCCACCGCCCUCCCACCUCCACCAUCGCGCCACCCCCUGCCGCCUCCACCCACGCCGCCUCUUCUUUUCCCUCCUACCUUGCUUUUUUCUUACCCCAAUUUCUAGGGUUCCCUGCUUCUCUUCGAAUUUUCGCCCCUUUGGUGAGUCCCGCCACCACCGUUGCCGUCGCACCGCCGCCCUCUGUCUCAGAUCUGUCUCUCACUCUAUCUUACUCUCUAUCUCCUGGGAAAUUGCAAGAGAUCUGUUUGUGUUCAAAUAGAAUGGAUUGGUGAAAUGGGUUGAAGCUUGAAGUUGCAGAUUUCUGGAAAUGUUUAUUAAAGCUUGAAGUUGGAAUGUAGAAUUGUAGAUUUUGUAUUUCUGCAUUCUAGAAGUUGAAUCUGCAUUCUGGAAAUGUAGAAUCUGCAUUCUGGAAGUUGUAUUUUUGAAUUACAGAUUGCAGAUUGUAGAUUGCAGAUUUCUGGAAAUGUUUAUUAAAGCUGGAAGUUGUAGAUUGUAUUUUUUGAAGCUUGAAGUUGGAAUGUAGAAUGGAUUUCCGGAGAUCUA